Molecule: ribosomal RNA, 359 nt
Filed under: uncultured Bacteroidota bacterium
Lineage: Bacteria; Pseudomonadati; Bacteroidota
Description: bacterial SSU rRNA
Rfam family: Bacterial small subunit ribosomal RNA
Source: RNAcentral
GAUGAGCAUGCGUCCCAUUAGCUAGUUGGUAAGGUAACGGCUUACCAAGGCUACGAUGGGUAGGGGUCCUGAGAGGGAGAUCCCCCACACUGGUACUGAGACACGGACCAGACUCCUACGGGAGGCAGCAGUGAGGAAUAUUGGACAAUGGGCGCAAGCCUGAUCCAGCCAUGCCGCGUGCAGGAUGACGGUCCUAUGGAUUGUAAACUGCUUUUGCACAGGAAGAAACAACAUUACGUGUAAUGUCUUGACGGUACUGUGAGAAUAAGGAUCGGCUAACUCCGUGCCAGCAGCCGCGGUAAUACGGAGGAUCCAAGCGUUAUCCGGAAUCAUUGGGUUUAAAGGGUCCGUAGGCGGUU